GGAGAGAUGGCCGAGUGGUCGAAGGCGCACGCCUGGAGAGCGUGUGAUGGUUAAAAGCUGUCCGUGGGUUCAAAUCCCACUCUCUCCGCCA
Molecule: transfer RNA, 91 nt
Filed under: Petrotoga olearia DSM 13574
Lineage: Bacteria; Thermotogati; Thermotogota; Thermotogae; Petrotogales; Petrotogaceae
Description: tRNA-Ser
Rfam family: tRNA
About the family: Transfer RNA (tRNA) molecules are approximately 80 nucleotides in length. Their secondary structure includes four short double-helical elements and three loops (D, anti-codon, and T loops).
Source: RNAcentral